GUGGCAUCUGGAAACACAGCUGUGUGAAGGCAAAUGGCUGUCCCUUCAGAGUGGUCUGCACCUCAUGCAAGGAAGACAAUGAGGUUACCCUGGACAGCGUUUGACAGAGGGAACAUCUACAUCCUGGGAAGAUGGCGUCGCCCAGACUGGGCUUGUGCUCUCUGCCUCUGGAAUAUGCCGUGAGCUCCUUGACCAGCAGUUUUGGAAAGCAAGCAGCCACUUUGUGUGCAACAGAGCUUCGUACAGAUGGACACUUUGGAACUUGUAAUGCCAAGAAAUACUUUAGCCAUGUUGACAUUUACCAUCUACGGAUGACCACUUAUUCCACACAGAGUUCUGUUUGUCUGUUUGUCUGUUUGUUCUGUUUGUUGAAAUGCUGCUUGGCCAGCAGCCCUGUGAACCUCUUUCAACUCAUUGAUGUUCUGGUUAUCUAUGAACAUGUAUGGAGUAAUAACAGCAUGUUAUGAUUAAAGUGAUGGAUGGCAACAGCUCAAUGGGGACCAUGAUCCCUCCCCUGGGGAGCUCAAGAGCAAGCCCUGUUAGGCUAAGAAGGGCGAAACCUUCCU
Molecule: long non-coding RNA, 566 nt
Organism: Mustela lutreola (European mink)
Lineage: Eukaryota; Metazoa; Chordata; Mammalia; Carnivora; Mustelidae
Exons: 3
Source: RefSeq, a predicted model, not a curated record